Long non-coding RNA from Lycium barbarum (goji berry), 743 nucleotides. RefSeq lists it as uncharacterized. The record is from RefSeq and is a predicted model, not a curated record. NCBI's taxonomy places the organism in Eukaryota, Viridiplantae, Streptophyta, Magnoliopsida, Solanales, Solanaceae. The transcript has 3 exons.
GCUACUUCUUCCUUACUCUGCAAUUUUCCUUCGCCACUGCUUCAAAGUGCUAUCUCUCUGUUUGAAUCUGUAAAAUUCAAUUCAGAUAACGCCUGAAGGCAACUCUACUGCUAUUGGUGACAGUGUACUGUCCUAAAAAAUCUGCUGAUGUUUCUGGGAAAUAGAACUGAAGGACAAAAAUAAGAUGGUUUCCUUUUUUAUAGCCCACAGAACGAAAUUCUAUAGACAUGGAUGUCACUGGCUUCGUUCUAUAAAUGGGAGAUGAGGCAUUGAUUUAUUCAACACCAGCUUAAAUUUGAUCGAGAAAGAGGAUGAAGAAAGUAAACAAGUUUACCAAGGUUCUUGUAUGAUGAUUAAAGCUAUAUUCUGGAGUGAAGUUCCAAGCUGAAGAGCCAAUGUGGGAAGCGUAGAAGGCCAUGGAAGUUUAUGUAAAAGUGAUCCAGUUGCAACUGCUUUGAUUCAAAUUCAAGAGGAAUAAUGCAGUGUGAAAAGAAACUAUAUGUUCUUGAAACUCUAUAAACGUAGAACAUAUUAUCUGCCCUUUCUUUUAUAUGGUAGAAUAAAGUAGAACAUAUUAUCUGCCCUUCCUAUUUUUGUUUAGGUAAGGACAGAUAUGUCUACGCUGUAUAAUUUUUCGGCGAAGGGUGUUUGGUUGAACACCCUUGCCGGGCUGUGGCUCCGCCACUGUAGGUGAAACACUAAUAGUUGAGUGUCUUCCAUUAUAAAACAUAGAAAAUGAAAAA